Molecule: long non-coding RNA, 1282 nt
Filed under: Cyanistes caeruleus (blue tit)
Lineage: Eukaryota; Metazoa; Chordata; Aves; Passeriformes; Paridae
Description: lncRNA (ENSCCEG00000024101.1)
Source: RNAcentral
AUGGGAAGGGCUCCGAGUUCUGCACAGACAGCUUGUUAUGGAUUGUUUUCAGCCUCCCUCUCUCUAGAAAUGCCAGCAUGAUGGGUGGCAAAGAUGCUGCAGAACUGCUGCUUUAAUUUGCCUUUUAGAGGCGUUUUAGGGAAGGCAUCUGCUUCCAAUCGGGCUGCCCCUUUGAAAGGCCGUUCUCAUUUGUCUGCAACUUCUCUGAAAGCUCAGUCAUACUCAGGGCUCUUUGUGCCAAAGUCUUUCUGACGAUGGGAACUCAUGCAGCUGAACUUUGCAUUUCUGUGUCCCCUGAGCCCGCAGCGAAAGGUCGGAGAUUCCAGACAGCGCCUCAGAGCUUGUUUCACUUGGAUUUAUCAGGAGCUGUGCCUGGUGACACCAGAGGUGAUCAGCCUGUGUGUUGGGAAAAUGUGAAAUCCAGCUCUUUGGAGCAUGCAAAGCAACAGGAGCGCCACGAGCUGCAACAUCCGCCAGUAAAUGCCGCUCAACGCAGCCGAGCUUCCUAGAGAUUAAAGGAAUUUGGAAAUGUCAUUGCCCUGACCAAAUGAGAUAAUUUGUAUCUUCUGUCACUGGAAUCCAAUCCUCUGUUUUUUCUUCUCUUUUUUUUUAUUUUCCCCAUUAUUAACUUGCAACUGUGGGAAGGUGGGAGCAAGGCUGGGGGUUGGGAAGGGAAUCUCAUGGCUAAUCCAGCUGUGCUGUGGAAAUGAUGGUGGGGUGAUUUUGCUCUCUAAAUGAACUUGACUCGAUGGUGGGUGUCAGGUUUUGUUAAGUGCCCUGGGCCAAUGGAGACUAAUUAGGAAUGCAUUAAAUAUUAAAGCUCUCUGACAUUGGGGCAUUGAUGGUGACAGAAGAAAAGAAAUCCCAUAACCUAAUCUGUACCCAACAGGAGUAAUUUAUGUUCCCUUCUUUUAGCAAAAAAAAAUCCAAUUAUUUGGCCUGCUGGAAAAAUAUAUUUAAAGGAAAAGUUAAUUUAGGAGGGAGAAAAAUAUAUAUUAAAAAUAAUUCAGGUGCUGUCAACACAGCCUGUGAGUGUCACUUCCCGUGCAGUUUUGGUUUUGUUAGCAGGGAAAAUAUUUCCCUUUGGUGAGGCUGUUAACUGGAUUUGCCAUCCCAGGAGUGGAAUAUUGUGUUUUCCUUCUUCUGUGGUCAGGUCAGCUGGAUCCAAGAAGGGAUGCUCAUCAGGGGAUGCUCGUGGCCAUGCAGGGAGAGUGGGCAGUGCCCUGGGGAUUUGGGGUGCUCCUGUGGAAGGGGAGCACUGCAGGGUGAGCUCAGAACAGAG